RNAcentral lists this ribosomal RNA (453 nucleotides) under uncultured organism. Its description in RNAcentral is "partial 16S ribosomal RNA". It matches the Rfam family "Bacterial small subunit ribosomal RNA", at positions 330 to 799 of the family's 1533-position model. The record is from RNAcentral.
CGUACACUCCUGCGGGAGGCAGCAGUGGGGAAUAUUGGACAAUGGGCGCAAGCCUGAUCCAGCCAUGCCGCGUGAGUGAUGAAGGCCCUAGGGUUGUAAAGCUCUUUCACCGGUGAAGAUAAUGACGGUAACCGGAGAAGAAGCCCCGGCUAACUUCGUGCCAGCAGCCGCGGUAAUACGAAGGGGGCUAGCGUUGUUCGGAUUUACUGGGCGUAAAGCGCACGUAGGCGGACUAUUAAGUCAGGGGUGAAAUCCCGGGGCUCAACCCCGGAACUGCCUUUGAUACUGGUAGUCUUGAGUUCGAGAGAGGUGAGUGGAAUUCCGAGUGUAGAGGUGAAAUUCGUAGAUAUUCGGAGGAACACCAGUGGCGAAGGCGGCUCACUGGCUCGAUACUGACGCUGAGGUGCGAAAGCGUGGGGAGCAAUCAGGAUUAGAUACCCGAGUAGUCCCAUG